GUAGGGAAAUUUGUAGUGUCCCCUAUAGAGUUGGUUAUGGACUUUCUCUUAGGGCCAUAAAACAGUCUCAACACAGUAGGUGUCAGGCGGGUUAUGUGUAUCAACGCACAAGGUCUGUUCGCCGCCAAGUAAUAGUGUUUUGGCUUUAUCGUUGGUAUUCAGGGAGGGCGGCCAUUACUUAUGAGUGGUAGAAAGGCAGGUUCAGAGUGAGAAUGGUAAGAAUGGAGGUCGAGCAAGCGGAGACAGCAAGGAGUUUGGACGAGGUGCGGUAUUCCCGGGUGAUCCACACGCUAGGCAGAGAGGGCGUGGAAGCCCUGCGGCGGAGCAGGAUUUUGAUAAUUGGAUGUGGAGGGGUUGGGGCGGAGAUAGCCAAGAAUGUUAUCCUCUGUGGGGUGGCUUCCGUCGGAUUGGUGGACGACGGGGCUGUGCGAACGGCAGACUUGGGUGCCACCUUCCUUCUUUCCCAGGGAGACGUGGGCCAAAACAGAGCCCUUUCUACUGUUAAUGCUUUGAAGGAUCUCAACCCGGACGCAUCGGUUGAGGCGUUACCUUGUUCCGAUAUCGAAGUUCAUUUGAAAAAGUUCAGCGUGGUCGUUGCCACGGAUGGGACAGUCCCCUUCCUGGUGAAGUUGAACCACCUUUGUAGGUCCUCUGGCAUUGCAUUUGUGUACGCACGUGCCAGAGGGGUUUUUGCGUCCGUUUUUUGUGACUUUGGUGACCACUUCCUUGUUCGUGAUGACACUGGUACUACCCCAUUCAAUGUUGUCAUUGAGAGCAUAACUCAAGACUUUCCUGCAACUGUCACUGUUGUAGAAGAACAGAGGCAUGGCCUCCAGGACAGGGAUGCGGUUGUUUUCCAUGGAAUUAGAGGUAUGGAAGAACUCAAUCGCUCCUUGCCUGUGGCUGUCAAUGUCACUGGAUCUCACUCAUUUACCAUACUCGUCGAUACUCGGCAGUUUGGGCGCUACACUUCAGGAGGCUAUUUCCAUAAGGUGAAAGCUAGUAAAACUGUUAAGUUCCUUCCACUGGAGGAAGCUCUUGUAGCGCCACAAUUUUGUGCUUAUGACCCUGCAAAGCAACAACACAUUCUUGACUUACAUGUUGCAUUUCAAGCUGUUGAAACGUUUGAGAGAAUCAAGUGUCCCGACUCUCAUUUUGUCAACCCAGUAGCUAUAAAAGACGAGGAAAUCGACGAGGUUCUAUUGCUAGCACGGCAAGCCGCAGCGCUUAUCUCUAUGCCUAUGACCAAUGACUGCACACCAAUUACCUCCGGUUUUGGAGAUGAAAGAUGGCAUUCAACUAGUUCAAAUUAUAAAAUUGAAACUGAUGUAGAUGACAAAGCUUAUGGUGAUAUGGUAAAUGGACAAACCAAAGAUAAGAAGACUCUUACUGGAGAACAGAUUGCAGAAGCAAAUAAAAAUGCAUGUCCGGUGAAGACACAAGCAGAAGUUAAUGAAAACAUAGUUAAACUGGUAGCUUUAGAAGCACAUGUGGAACUAUGUCCCAUUGUUUGUAUUGCGGGAGGCAUUGCUGCACAAGAGGUCAUAAAGGCUGUAACAGGAGUAUUUUUUCCAGUUCACCAAUGGCUUUACAUAGAUGCCAUAGAAUGCCUUCCACCAGUAGCACCUAGUUUUCAAGAAAGGUCUGCUUCUGAUUCCCGUUAUGAUUCUUAUGUAGCAAUAUUUGGGAAGGAUCUUCAAAAGAAGCUUGGUCAUGGACAGUGGCUAGUUGUAGGUGCAGGGGCGAUUGGAUGUGAAGUCAUGAAAAAUCUGGUAUUAAUGGGUAUUGGUUGCAGCCCAAAUGGAAGCAUAACAGUAUCUGAUAUGGAUAAUGUAUCAAAGCCAAACCUGUCGAAUCAGGUAUUAUACCAAAUAGAUGACUUGGGGAGACUGAAAACAGCCUCAGCAUCGAGGGUUUUGCGAAAAAUCAAUCCUGCAGCCCAAGUACGUGCACUGAAUGUGAAGUUCAGUAUGGAGGCUGAAAAUAUAUUUGACUCUUCCUUCUUCGAUUCAAUUUGUGGUGUGCUUUCUGCUCUCGACACAUCUUCAUCAAGACUAUAUCUUGAUGCUCGCUGUGUGGCAUAUCAAAAGCCAAUGAUUGAUGGAGGCAAACAUGGUACCAGAGGCAGUGUGCAGGUUUUUGUUCCUUUUUGUUCAGAAAUGUAUGCUUCCACAAGGGAUCCUCCGGAACACAGGGAGAGCCCUAUAUGUACAAUUAAGAACUUUCCAUAUGCAAGUGAACAUACUCUACAGUGGGCUGUUGAAUUAUUUGAGAACCUUUUCAAGCAGCGACCGGAUGAUGUAAAUGCUUAUCUUUCCAAUCGAGAUUUCCAGGAGUCACUAAAAAUGUCAACAACACCUGCGAGGCACCAGAUCCUUGAAAUGUUGAGGGACGCUCUUGUCAAAUACAAACCAUUGAGUUUUGAAGCUUGUAUAGAAUGGGCUCGUUUACAAUUUGAAGAAAUGUUUUCAAACAACAUCAAACAGCUUUGCUACAAUUUCCCAAUUGACAUGAGAACAACAGCUGGGGCUUCCUUUUGGAGUGGCACAAAAAGGUUGCCAAGAGCUUUAGAUUUUGAUCCAGAGGAUCCUUUGCACAUGGAUUUUGUCAUUGCUGCCGCAAACUUACAGGCAACUGUAUAUGGACUUAGAGGAUGCACGGAUCACAACCAUUUUAUGCAAAUCCUUCAAAAGAUUGACAUACCAGUCUUCAAACCCAAGGAAGGUGUGAAAAUAGCACUAUCAGAUAAUGAUCUUCCUAGCAGCACACAAGGAAAGGCUAGCACAACUGUUGGGGACUGUGAUGUUGCAAGUUCUUCUGACAUCCUUUCUCAACUGCCUACUCCUACAACUCUUGUGGGCUAUCGUCUUUCGCCCGUAAACUUUGACAAGGACGAUGAGGGAAAUUUUCACGCUGAAUUUGUUCAUUCAGCAGCAAACCUGCGAUCGCAGAACUAUGGGAUAGGUUAUUCUGAUAAAUUGCAGGCAAGGCUUAUUGGUGGGAGGACAAUUCCAUCAAUCAUCACUACAGCUUCUGUUGUUGGGGGUCUGAUGUGUCUUGAGGUUUUUAAAAUCUUGCAAGAGAAGCCUUUGGAGGAAUACAGACAUUCUUAUUUCAACUUAUCUUUGCCAUUGUUUAUAUCUGCUCAACCUAUAAAAGCUGUAGAAAACAAGGUUAUAAGGACUCAAAAGGAGCCAUUGCUAUGGACACUGUGGGACAAGUUUGAAAUGGACUGUGUUGGGAUGUCUUUGCAGACAUUUAUUGCUGAAUUCAAGCAGGAACAUGGACUUGAUACUUGUGGAGCCAAGGGUUUCUGCAGACUAAUAAUUUGGGAACGAAAACACCCUAUGAUUUGCAUAAUUGAGGAGGUGAAAGAUCUUUCGAGGGGUUGCAGCUGAGAAUGGGAGACAACUCAGUCUUUCAUAUUGUGCCUAAUGAGUUUUUUUGCAUCUUCAUGGUAUAUUCAGCUUAUCAUAAUGGAUGCCCUAAAUGCAUCAAUUUCCAUUGAAGAAGGAAGGCAAUUUCAUUGAAGAUCAUUUGGAGGUGAAAACUAGGUGAAAGCUGAUUAAAUUGCAGAUCUGAGACAAAUCGGGUUUCACCCACCAAACCCACGAUUUGGUUCUUUUUUCAUCAUUGGAGCAUUACAUCAUACAUUGGAGGACAGUGCUAGUAUUGGUGAUGAAGGGCGAUGCUUUUAGGAGUAUUUUGAAGGAGCAAUAAGAAGAAAUCAGUGUCAAAACAGGUCUGAAGACAAUUCGUAUCAGACUCCCAUUUCCUACGAAUGUGCUCCUAGUCUUCCAUCUUGGCAUCGUAUCUCACCAAGGAAGAUAGCCACACUUGAGAAGAGGAGGUGAUCAUUGUAGGAGAGAAGGUAAAGACUCAGCAGCUGAUAAUUAUUUAUUCAGACCUCAUUAUUGCAGCAGGGGCGAUUCUGAGACAAAUACGACUUGGCAGAUUGGAGGCUUCAAAAUUCAUUAUAUUGCUUGCUUCUUCAACUAUCAGGCUAAGGUUAAUAUGAUAAUGUAUGGAAAGAGCCUUCUAUAUGCAGAAUUUCUAAACAAGAAGAAGUUACAGGAGAGAAUGUCCUUGACUCUUCUUGAACUUGUGCUUAAUGUUGGAAAAGUCACAAUUCCGACAACUGA
RNA transcript from Cryptomeria japonica (Japanese cedar), 4142 nucleotides. RefSeq lists it as uncharacterized. The transcript is spliced from 13 exons. NCBI's taxonomy places the organism in Eukaryota, Viridiplantae, Streptophyta, Pinopsida, Cupressales, Cupressaceae. The record is from RefSeq and is a predicted model, not a curated record.